CGUGUAGGCGGGUCAGCAAGUCGGGUGUGAAAUUUCCGGGCUUAACCCGGACAGGUCAUCCGAAACUGCAGAUCUUGAGUGCUGGAGAUGAUAGUGGAAUUCCUGGUGUAGCGGUAAAAUGCGUAGAUAUCAGGAGGAACACCAGUGGCGAAGGCGGCUAUCUGGACAGUAACUGACGCUGAGGCGCGAAAGCGUGGGGAGCAAACAGGAUUAGAUACCCUGGUAGUCC
RNAcentral lists this ribosomal RNA (229 nucleotides) under uncultured bacterium. RNAcentral's name for it is "partial 16S ribosomal RNA". It matches the Rfam family "Bacterial small subunit ribosomal RNA", at positions 568 to 796 of the family's 1533-position model. The record is from RNAcentral.